Molecule: ribosomal RNA, 261 nt
Filed under: uncultured eukaryote
Lineage: Eukaryota
Description: partial small subunit ribosomal RNA
Rfam family: Eukaryotic small subunit ribosomal RNA
Source: RNAcentral
GCACCCGCGGUAAUUCCAGCUCCAAUAGCGUAUACUAAUGUUGUUGCAGUUAAAAAGCUCGUAGUCGGAUUUCAGUAGGCUCAGUUAAGUCUCUUCUAUUGAGUUCUUUAUGGGCCUGCUUCUUUGACAGAAACUUCUAUGUUAUUCAUUUAGCGUGGGUAGCGACUGUCUCUUUUACUUUGAGAAAAUUAGAGUGUUCAAAGCAGGUAUUCGCCUGAAUAUUACUCUUAGAAUAAUGCUAUAAGACUUUGGUUCUAAUGU